This is a long non-coding RNA of Sander lucioperca (pikeperch), 483 nucleotides long. RefSeq lists it as uncharacterized. The transcript has 2 exons. The record is from RefSeq and is a predicted model, not a curated record. Lineage: Eukaryota; Metazoa; Chordata; Actinopteri; Perciformes; Percidae.
UGUGUGACUGUUUUCAAACUAAAACACAAGUGUAGAAAAAGUUUUUUUUGUCAGGUUAAAUGAUUUUUGAAUAAAUUAUGUCUUUCAUUUUUACACCUCAGUAUAUAUUUUGAUAUUUGUGGGUUUUAUUUCUUCCAGUUUCAGAUUAAAAUCUUGAUUUUUUUUUCACUUUUAGUUUCAGAAUUAAAUCAAAAUUAUAUUUAACCUGAAAAAUACACUGAAUGUGAGUUUGAAUACAUAGUUUCAGUCUCCAAGUUUUUUAUUUUCUAAAUGAUGGAAACCGUUGACAGAUGUAGCUUCACGUUUGAGUGUUACCAGCCAAAGUUUAGUCUUAAAGUACUUCAUAUAUCCAGUAUGUUUUACUGCAUGAUGAUACUAAACUGUUGUUUUUAGAGCACACAGAAGUAGUAUUUUAUAACAUGAAGAUGAGUGUGUUUAAUAAAUGUAAAAUGUUGGUAAUACAGAGAGCUGAGACACACUUCA